This is a small nucleolar RNA of Onychostoma macrolepis, 213 nucleotides long. RefSeq annotates it as small nucleolar RNA U3. The transcript has a single exon. The record is from RefSeq and is a predicted model, not a curated record. NCBI's taxonomy places the organism in Eukaryota, Metazoa, Chordata, Actinopteri, Cypriniformes, Cyprinidae.
AAGACUAUACUUUCAGGGAUCAUUUCUAUAGUAUUUAACUAGGAAAUGUGUUUCGAAAGUGUUGUGUCUCCCAAACCACGAUGAUGAGUGAUAGUGCGCUUCUCUGAGCGUGAAUCGGGUGAUGGUCUGUGAUUUAUUCGCGGAUAAUUAUCAUUGAUGAACGUUCAUAGGUUCUUUAUGAAUCUUUGAGGGGGAGUGCAUGGUCCGAGUGGU